CAGUCGCCGCGGUAAUACAGAGGGUGCAAGCGUUAAUCGGAAUUACUGGGCGUAAAGCGCGCGUAGGUGGUUUGUUAAGUUGGAUGUGAAAUCCCCGGGCUCAACCUGGGAACUGCAUCCAAAACUGGCAGGCUAGAGUAGGGCAGAGGGUGGUGGAAUUUCCUGUGUAGCGGUGAAAUGCGUAGAUAUAGGAAGGAACACCAGUGGCGAAGGCGACCACCUGGGCUCAUACUGACACUGAGGUGCGAAAGCGUGGGGAGCAAACAGGAUUAGAUACCCGAGUAGUCCCUGUCUCUUAUAC
This 301-nucleotide ribosomal RNA is filed under the name uncultured bacterium. RNAcentral's name for it is "partial 16S ribosomal RNA". It matches the Rfam family "Bacterial small subunit ribosomal RNA", at positions 509 to 807 of the family's 1533-position model. The record is from RNAcentral.